Molecule: ribosomal RNA, 402 nt
Filed under: Betaproteobacteria bacterium
Lineage: Bacteria; Pseudomonadati; Pseudomonadota; Betaproteobacteria
Description: bacterial SSU rRNA
Rfam family: Bacterial small subunit ribosomal RNA
Source: RNAcentral
AAACUGUAGAGUUUGAUCCUGGCUCAGAUUGAACGCUAGCGGCAUGCCUUACACAUGCAAGUCGAACGGCAGCACGGGGGCAACCCUGGUGGCGAGUGGCGAACGGGUGAGUAAUGCAUCGGAACGUGCCCAUCGAUGGGGGAUAACUGCGCGAAAGCGUUGCUAAUACCGCAUACGACCUACGGGUGAAAGCAGGGGACCGCAAGGCCUUGCGUCGAUGGAGCGGCCGAUGCCGGAUUAGCUAGUUGGUGAGGUAAAGGCUCACCAAGGCAACGAUCCGUAGCUGGUCUGAGAGGACGACCAGCCACACUGGGACUGAGACACGGCCCAGACUCCUACGGGAGGCAGCAGUGGGGAAUCUUGGACAAUGGGGGCAACCCUGAUCCAGCAAUGCCGCGUGUG